AGUUUGAUCCUGGCUCAGAACGAACGCUGGCGGCGCGCCUAAUACAUGCAAGUCGAGCGAGAAGGUGUAGCAAUACACUUGUAAAGCGGCGAACGGGUGAGGAAUACAUGGGUAACCUACCAUUGAGUGGGGAAUAACCAGCCGAAAGGUUGGCUAAUACCGCGUACGCCUCCGGGUUUUCGGAUCCGGAGGGAAAGCCACGCUGUGAGCGUGGCGCUCUUUGAUGGGCUCAUGUCCUAUCAGCUUGUUGGUAGGGUAACGGCCUACCAAGGCUUUGACGGGUAGCUGGUCUGGGAGGACGAUCAGCCACACUGGCACUGCGACACGGGCCAGACUCCUACGGGAGGCAGCAGUAAGGAAUAUUGCGCAAUGGGCGAAAGCCUGACGCAGCGACGCCGCGUGGGGGAUGAAGGUCUUCGGAUUGUAAACCCCUUUCGGGAGGGAAGAUGGAGCGAGCAAUCGUUCGGACGGUACCUCCAGAAGCAGCCACGG
RNAcentral lists this ribosomal RNA (492 nucleotides) under uncultured bacterium. RNAcentral describes it as "bacterial SSU rRNA". It matches the Rfam family "Bacterial small subunit ribosomal RNA", at positions 10 to 496 of the family's 1533-position model. The record is from RNAcentral.